CUUCAACACAACAGAAACCACGACAACCAUGACUCUGAUCACCAUCUUCAUCUGGACACUGGUCUGCUGCUGCCUCAAAGGAUCCAGAGGUCAGGUGACUGUGACUCAGCCUCCUGUAGUGACAUUUUCUCCAGGAGACCCCGUCACUCUGACCUGUACAACCAACCCUAAAGUGCGCAAAUGGGAUAAUGGAAAUGAGGGUGCGUACUGGUAUCUACAGAGGCCUGGAGAAGCUCCUAAACUCCUGAUAAAAUACGUAAAGACACGGCUAGAUGGGAUUCCUGCUAGAUUCAGUGGCAGUGGGUCUGAGAGCGACUUCACACUGACCAUCAGUGGAGUCCAGGCUGAAGAUGCAGCAGUUUACUACUGUAAGAGUUACCACUAUCUCAACAGUAAAAGUAUCUUCACACAGUGA
Molecule: non-coding RNA, 415 nt
Organism: Salvelinus namaycush (lake trout)
Lineage: Eukaryota; Metazoa; Chordata; Actinopteri; Salmoniformes; Salmonidae
Source: the annotation of a RefSeq genome assembly